RNAcentral lists this non-coding RNA (21 nucleotides) under Caenorhabditis elegans. Lineage: Eukaryota; Metazoa; Nematoda; Chromadorea; Rhabditida; Rhabditidae. The record is from RNAcentral.
UUAUUCAAGAAAGAAACAACA